GGGGACUCCUGUAAAAUGUGAAAUAAUGGCCUUUUCUGAAGCGAUCCAGUUACAUGGAGAUAUAUGAGGUCCUGAGAGAUGGUGGUUCCCAGGAAUCUGAAUGACUCCACUGCAGCCACAGUGCUGUCUAUGAUGACUCGUCACCGUCCUGGAUGAGACCGAUGACUGUAGUGUCGUCUGCAAACGUCAGGAGCUUGACAGAGGGGUCUUUGGAGGCUGGAUUUCUCAAAGCUAAUUGUUUAACAUACUAUAUCUGAUUUCCAAAGAUUCAGCUGUUUUGACAUCCAAGCAUUUAGAUGUUUUGACUUUUUCAGGGUUAAAGGGGAACCUGCAUCAGUGCAUUUGCUUGUGAGUGAGCUCGACUGAAUAUAUGCACCCUAGACACAUUUGGCCUGGAGGGAAAGUUGGAUGUGUGUGUUUUUGUGUUUAACUCUUCCUUUAUAUUUGUGUGUUGAGCAUGAAUACGUGCAAAACCCAAGUACAGUUUGCC
Long non-coding RNA from Cyprinus carpio carpio, 490 nucleotides. The record is from Ensembl. Lineage: Eukaryota; Metazoa; Chordata; Actinopteri; Cypriniformes; Cyprinidae.